This 497-nucleotide ribosomal RNA is filed under the name uncultured bacterium. RNAcentral's name for it is "partial 16S ribosomal RNA". It matches the Rfam family "Bacterial small subunit ribosomal RNA", at positions 28 to 507 of the family's 1533-position model. The record is from RNAcentral.
GAUGAACGCUGGCGGCGUGCCUAAUACAUGCAAGUCGAGCGAACAGACGAGGAGCUUGCUCCUCUGACGUUAGCGGCGGACGGGUGAGUAACACGUGGAUAACCUACCUAUAAGACUGGGAUAACUUCGGGAAACCGGAGCUAAUACCGGAUAAUAUAUUGAACCGCAUGGUUCAAUAGUGAAGGACGGUUUUGCUGUCACUUAUAGAUGGAUCCGCGCCGCAUUAGCUAGUUGGUAAGGUAACGGCUUACCAAGGCGACGAUGCGUAGCCGACCUGAGAGGGUGAUCGGCCACACUGGAACUGAGACACGGUCCAGACUCCUACGGGAGGCAGCAGUAGGGAAUCUUCCGCAAUGGGCGAAAGCCUGACGGAGCAACGCCGCGUGAGUGAUGAAGGUCUUCGGAUCGUAAAACUCUGUUAUUAGGGAAGAACAAGUGUGUAAGUAACUAUGCACGUCUUGACGGUACCUAAUCAGAAAGCCACGGCUAACUACGUG